UCCAGAUUCAGUCUCCCGAGAUCACU
This 26-nucleotide non-coding RNA is filed under the name Rattus norvegicus (Norway rat). The record is from RNAcentral. Lineage: Eukaryota; Metazoa; Chordata; Mammalia; Rodentia; Muridae.